AGCACGAUGGCCGAGUGGUUAAGGCGUUGGACUUAAGUUCCAAUGGACGUGAGUCCUCGUGGGUUCGAACCCCACUCGUGCUA
Non-coding RNA from Haemonchus contortus (barber pole worm), 83 nucleotides. Lineage: Eukaryota; Metazoa; Nematoda; Chromadorea; Rhabditida; Trichostrongylidae. The record is from Rfam.